Long non-coding RNA from Cornus florida, 1984 nucleotides. RefSeq lists it as uncharacterized. The record is from RefSeq and is a predicted model, not a curated record. The transcript has 2 exons. Lineage: Eukaryota; Viridiplantae; Streptophyta; Magnoliopsida; Cornales; Cornaceae.
CAGGGACUAUGCCAUUGCCAUAGCAACUGCUCAAUAUAAAAUGGAGCAACUUGCCUUUUACUCUAAUUUCCACAAUUUACUCAAGAAACUUUAGACUGCUCUAAUCUCAUCCACCCUAUUCCCAAAGUCAAUAUGAUUUCAGGACCCUUGCAACCACUCAAAAGCAAGUCGAUAUGCUGAUUUCACCAUAAAUUCCCAUCAGCUGAGAAAUGCGGCAAAUGCCACCCUUUUCUGUCAUUGGCAAUGGUUUCACUCAGAGCGGUGGUUAGAAGUUUUACAGCCUCCUCCUGAUCACAAAUUUGAGAGAUAAACCAAGUAUUCCAACUUCUGGACUGGGAAUCAACCAAAGCACUUACAGUAUGAACAUUGCCCUUUAUAGGACAUGUUGAUAUAACUUUGAACCCCGGUACGUCAGGAACCCAAAGGUCUGUUCAAACCUUAAUUGAGUGACCUUUUCCAACCCUCCACCUUACACCUCUAUGUAUCACUUCCUACAUGAACAUAUACUCUUCCAAGCCCAACUUGAGUUGUUUCUCACCCUAGCUUCCAUGAAAGAGAAGUUUGGAUAAUAUUUGCCGUUGUGCAACUUUGACAAAGAGCUGCCCUUCAACUUCAAAUCUCCACCCUUGUUUUGAUAAUAGAGCUAUAUUAAAAGCCUCAAGGUCUCAAAAUCCUAGGCCAUCCUCAUUCUUAUUUUAGCGUAGGUGAUUCCACUUCAUCCAACACAAUUUUCUUUCCUCCUUUGGUCCUGCCUACCAGAAAUCCAACAUUUUACUCCUUAAUUUUGUACAGACCCCUCUUGGCAUCUUGAGGCAACUCAUUGUAACUGUAGAAACAGCCUGGAGUACAGAUUUAAGAAGUGUCUCUUUCCCAGCUAAAGAGAAAAAGCAGUCCUUCCAUCCCCUUACUUAGCAAUAAUCCUGUCUUAAAGAUUUUGGAAUACUUGCUUAGGGUGAAGGGGCUAUGUUAACUGGAUGAUACAGUUUGAGGGGUUGGUUAGUGCUUUUGCUGACUUUGACUGUUGUUAUCUAGUCAAGAAUUGCCAACUUUGAGUUUCUUAGCAAUUUUUCAUUAGGAAAUAGAUUAUUCAUCUCUUUUUGCUUCUAUGAACCUCUGCUGAUUACAUGUUGAAUAGGUUCAUGCAGUCUCUGUCCAGUUAAUUGAAAUUCAUCCAGCUUCUUGGAGAAAAAAGAAUGCCAUGGCCAGUGUAUCUACUCCAGAAGCAAACCAGUGUCAUACAAGAAGUACGUGUUAGGAAGAGCUAUCUCAUUCCCUUGCUCCUGAAGUUCAACAUGACGCUUUCAUUCAAAGAGAGCCCCAUUGCUCUAUUUCAGAAGAAAAGCAGGACCUGUCCAUUCCAUUUGUUAUUGAAGAAUUGCCACAAAUGUUUUUCAUAUUCGUGCUCCUGGAAAUCAGUCAAGUUGGGCAAUAUCUACCUAACAAGAGGCCGAGCGCAUCAAUAGGCAUUGGUGGUUCAGUUGGGUAGUGAUGAUAUUCUGGGGUUGCAAUAAGAACCUAAAUAAUAAGAAUUGCAGUAUUGAUUGUGAUGAAUGUUAUACAUGGAUAUGCAGAAAGCAGAAGCUUGGGUACCUAGAAUGCUCUGAAUGCAUGUCUGGUCCAAAUGGUGAAAGGAAAGCGAGGCUAUUGUGAGGACAAAUCAAGUUGAAGAAAAUGGAAUGUCAAAUUCGGAUCCCCCACCGAAACUAUCAGUUGCUUUUCACUGAGAGGAUCCUGGCACCAUUGAGUGACUCCAGUCUCUGGGAGGUUCUAUACCUUAACUUCUCUAAAAGGUAUAGAGUUAGUAAACUUUUUGUUAUAUUAAUUUAUAGGGUAAUUGUGUUCUCUUUUUGUCAUAAUGUAUAAGAAUACCCCACAGAAGGUCACAUAUUCGAAAAGGUGGAUAUUUUCUUGGUGUAAACAAUCUGGGUUGUAACGACUUGACAUUUUAUUUUCGAGUUUAUAUGUAGGAGACAUCUUUUUUUUU